GGAACACCUGCUGAAGGGGUGUGGCUGGCCCAGGGAGCACCUGUGCUCCCCACCGGACUGGAAGAGGUGGACCCAGAGUGAGGCCACCCUGGACUCAUCUAAGAGCCAUCCACUGAGAGGAGAGCAUCUUUUAGAGUUGGGUUGCUUGUUGGGAGGGGAAGAAUGCUAUAUGGCUAGAAAGCUCCUUCAUCACUUGGAUAUUUCCUUCUUUCAAGACCAGAAGAAAGUUGAUACCACAUGAAUGGAUGCUCCCAAACAUCUCUACUCCCAUACUCAAUGUGCUGGAAGAUGUCUAUCAAUCCACACCAAGCAUGCUACGUCAGUCCUGAGAGCAAAGAGGAGGAGGAGAUGACUGUAAAGCAGUUUGAGAGACAGAGGAUGGAAAGCAGGUCAGAGGAGGUCAUGGGUAAAAUCUGCAGACCAACUGAGGCUGAGCAGAGGAGAGUUGGAGAAGAAACAACAACCAACAGGAAAUGAAGCUACAACAAUAAACCUUAUCCUGAAAAA
Molecule: long non-coding RNA, 507 nt
Organism: Numida meleagris (helmeted guineafowl)
Lineage: Eukaryota; Metazoa; Chordata; Aves; Galliformes; Numididae
Exons: 3
Source: RefSeq, a predicted model, not a curated record